UCUUUCACCCACACAACUACAACUUUUCUCUUUGUUUCCUAGAAAUUUCACACAAUUAGACUUUAUUAUAUAAACUCAGCAAAACACCCUCUUCUUUCUCCAACAUCCAUUUUUCUCCUUUCUCUUCUCUGAAUAUCUCUUAAAUUUUCAUUGAAAUAUUUCACUUGUGUUAUUGUGUAAAAUACAAAAUUUUGUUUCUGAAUUUGAAGAUGAAUUCAGUGAGAUUGAUGAACCUCUCAUAUAUAAUUAUUGGAUUCAUGUUGAUGGCACUUGUUGAGUUUGGUUUUGGACAAGGCAUGGCUCCUUCUUCUGCCCCUCCUCCUUCUAAUGAUGGCACAGCAAUCGAUCAAGGGGUUGCUUAUGUUCUUCUACUUGUUGCACUCGCAAUUACGUACUUGGUCCAUUAAUACACUUAUAUGGAGUAUUGUUCUUUUUUAGCUAAUUGAUUUGUUCAUUCAUUAUUUAAGUUGUUUAUGUAUUUUUCUCCUGUUAUUCAGAAAGGAAAAAUUUCAGAGUUUUGCUAUCAAAGGAAGUGACUAGUGAGGAAAGAAUACUUAUUUGUAAUACAAAAUUCAGUUUACUCUA
Molecule: long non-coding RNA, 585 nt
Organism: Lycium barbarum (goji berry)
Lineage: Eukaryota; Viridiplantae; Streptophyta; Magnoliopsida; Solanales; Solanaceae
Exons: 2
Source: RefSeq, a predicted model, not a curated record